UUUUUGGUCAUUCCAAAUCUAUGUUAUCUUCCCAUUUUUCUUGCAGGUUAUUUUCCCAAUCGCCCUGUCUCCUGACACUGUGUUGGCAGUCCACUUGUAAGAGAGGUUGCAACAAGAAUUACUGGACAAGCCUGGUACUCUUCCAUUUGAUGAGGAUAAUUGGCCUUCUGUGAUGUUUGCAAUGGCAGGAGGGGUGGUACUUAGCCUUGGAAAUCUCUCAACUCAGUAUGCUUGGGCUUCUGUUGGCUUAUCAGUCACAAAAGUGAUCACUGCAAGCAUAACAG
This is a long non-coding RNA of Humulus lupulus (European hop), 284 nucleotides long. RefSeq lists it as uncharacterized. Lineage: Eukaryota; Viridiplantae; Streptophyta; Magnoliopsida; Rosales; Cannabaceae. The record is from RefSeq and is a predicted model, not a curated record. The transcript has 3 exons.